AGUACGAUCGCAAGGUUGAAACUCAAAGGAAUUGACGGGGGCCCGCACAAGCGGUGGAUUAUGUGGUUUAAUUCGAUGCAACGCGAAGAACCUUACCAGGGCUUGACAUCCUACUAACGAAGUAGAGAUACAUUAGGUACCCUUCGGGGGAAGUAGAGACAGGUGGUGCAUGGUUGUCGUCAGCUCGUGUCGUGAGAUGUUGGGUUAAGUCCCGCAACGAGCGCAACCCUUAUUGUUAGUUGCUACGCAAGAGCACUCUAGCGAGACUGCCGUUGACAAAACGGAGGAAGGUGGGGACGACGUCAAAUCAUCAUGCCCCUUAUGUCCUGGGCUACACACGUAAUACAAUGGCGGCCAACAGAGGGAUGCAAAGCUGUGAAGUGGAGCGAACCCCUAAAAGCCGUCCCAGUUCAGAUUGCAGUCUGCAACUCGACUGCAUGAAGUCGGAAUCGCUAGUAAUCGCGGAUCAGCAUGCCGCGGUGAAUACGUUCCCGGGCCUUGUACACACCGCCCGUCACACCAUGAGAGUCGGGAACACCCGAAGUCCGUAGCCUAACCGCAAGGAGGGCGCGGCCGAAGGUGGGUUCGAUAAUUGGGGUGAAGUCGUAACAAGGUAGCCGU
This 621-nucleotide ribosomal RNA is filed under the name uncultured bacterium. Its description in RNAcentral is "bacterial SSU rRNA". It matches the Rfam family "Bacterial small subunit ribosomal RNA", at positions 879 to 1503 of the family's 1533-position model. The record is from RNAcentral.